GGGAGUGAAACAGAACCUGAAACCGUGUACGUACAAGCAGUGGGAGCCCCACCACCAAAGCGUUUCGCUUUGCGUGGUGCGCAAAAUGCGUAACGACAGCACGAUUGCGGUUAACGGAGCGUAAGCGACGUUCAACACAAAAAUCAGGCAGUGGAGCGUUUUGGGGUGGGGUGACUGCGUACCUUUUGUAUAAUGGGUCAGCGACUUAUAUUCUGUAGCAAGGUUAACCGCAUAGGGGAGCCGGAGGGAAACCGAGUCUUAAUUGGGCGUUAAGUUGCAGGGUAUAGACCCGAAACCCGGUGAUCUAGCCAUGGGCAGGUUGAAGGUUGGGUAACACUAACUGGAGGACCGAACCGACUAAUGUUGAAAAAUUAGCGGAUGACCUGUGGCUGGGGGUGAAAGGCCAAUCAAACCGGGAGAUAGCUGGUUCUCCCCGAAAGCUAUUUAGGUAGCGCCUCGUGAAUUCAUCUCCGGGGGUAGAGCACUGUUUCGGCCAGGGGGCCAUCCCGGCUUACCAAUCCGAUGCAAACUGCGAAUACCGGAGAAUGUUAUCACGGGAGACACACGGCGGGUGCUAACGUCCGUCGUGAAGAGGGAAACAACCCAGACCGCCAGCUAAGGUCCCAAAGUCAUGGUUAAGUGGGAAACGAUGUGGGAAGGCCCAGACAGCCAGGAUGUUGGCUUAGAAGCAGCCAUCAUUUAAAGAAAGCGUAAUAGCUCACUGGUCGAGUCGGCCUGCGCGGAAGAUGUAACGGGGCUAAACCAU
Molecule: ribosomal RNA, 766 nt
Filed under: Salmonella enterica subsp. houtenae serovar 50:g,z51:-
Lineage: Bacteria; Pseudomonadati; Pseudomonadota; Gammaproteobacteria; Enterobacterales; Enterobacteriaceae
Description: partial 23S ribosomal RNA
Rfam family: Bacterial large subunit ribosomal RNA
Source: RNAcentral